CUGACAGCACGGCGUUGAAUCCCAAUGGGAUUUGCUUCUUUUUUUAUUUUUUUGUUUUUGGACAACAAUCCCAAUGGGAUUACAAUUUACAAUAGCUAACUGCCUUAAAUUCCUUUCUUACAUCGGUCCCUUUAUAUUCUGUUCACAUAUAUUACAAUCACAAAAACCUUUCUUACAAAUUGGUCUGUGUUCACAUAUAUCGCACAAUCACAAAAACCGUUUCUCUUUACAGCAGCUAUUUUAAUCUUGCAACCCCAUCUGUUCCCACCACCAUCUCUCUGAUUCAAUUUUUUUCUCAAGAACAAGAAUGGGAAGUAACGGAAAUAGUUGGGCGGAUCAGUGGGGCAGUCAAUACGACGUCGGAUAUGAAGAUGAUGGCGGCAAAGGAAAAAGCAGCGGCAAGAAGAUGGAGAAGGUAACGGCGGCGGCAUCGGCGAGUUUCGACAAGGCGAAGGCAGCGGCGGCAGUGGGGGCUGACAAGGCAAAGUCUGCGGCUGUGGUGGGUCCAAAGAAGGUAAAGAGUGGCACUUCUCUUGGGUUUAAAUGGAUUAAGGACAAGUGCCAAAAGGGAAGCUCUACAAAGUAAUUUGAGGGGAAAAACAAAAACAAAGAGAAAAUGUCUGAAAAGUGGAAGAAUGAUUAAUGAAGGAUUUUUAAGGCCUACAUAUACAUACUCAUCAUAAUGCAUUGUUUUGAUGAAUUUUCAUUUUAUUCUUUCAUACACUAUUUUUUAUGUGGAAGAAGAUGAGCUGAGCUUACAAUUUAUCUAUUUGGAAGAAAAUGAACUGCCUUUACAAUUA
Molecule: long non-coding RNA, 800 nt
Organism: Nicotiana tabacum (common tobacco)
Lineage: Eukaryota; Viridiplantae; Streptophyta; Magnoliopsida; Solanales; Solanaceae
Source: RefSeq, a predicted model, not a curated record